This 433-nucleotide ribosomal RNA is filed under the name uncultured bacterium. RNAcentral's name for it is "partial 16S ribosomal RNA". It matches the Rfam family "Bacterial small subunit ribosomal RNA", at positions 29 to 507 of the family's 1533-position model. The record is from RNAcentral.
AACGAACGCUGGCGGCAUACCUAACACAUGCAAGUCGAACGAGACCUUCGGGUCUAGUGGCGCACGGGUGCGUAACGCGUGGGAACCUGCCCUUAGGUUCGGAAUAACUCCCCGAAAGGGGUGCUAAUACCGGAUAAUGUCUUCGGACCAAAGAUUUAUCGCCUUUGGAUGGGCCCGCGUUGGAUUAGCUAGUUGGUAGGGUAAAAGCCUACCAAGGCGACGAUCCAUAGCUGGUCUGAGAGGAUGAUCAGCCACGCUGGGACUGAGACACGGCCCAGACUCCUACGGGAGGCAGCAGUGGGGAAUAUUGGACAAUGGGCGAAAGCCUGAUCCAGCAAUGCCGCGUGAGUGAUGAAGGCCUUAGGGUUGUAAAGCUCUUUUACCCGGGAUGAUAAUGACAGUACCGGGAGAAUAAGCUCCGGCUAACUCCGUG